AAAAAAAAAAAAAAAAGGAAAACUGUGAACCAUUUAUCACGACGUUAAGUUACUAAAGAAGAAAAUGAUGGAGAAGUAUUCUCUAUUUAUUGAUAAUCCCAGUAUAAAAUGGGGAUAGGCGAGUACUUUUUCCUGUUCUUUGCACGUGCUUGUUUUUUUAGUAUAACGGAUAUCCGUCAUUUCCGGAAAAUUUCCUAUAGCUUUAUCGGAUAUUUGAAGCUUAAAGAUCUGUUUCGACAACAGCCAGCAGUGGGCACCACUGGAUGGGUAACCAACGGACAUCGGAUCAAUACCGUCAGCUCUCGCCUGUGUAUAUCAGACUUUCUCUAGCUUUUGGUAUCGACCGAAUAGCGCCAGAGGAGGUUAUUGCAAAGCAUCCAUCAACGGCUGUAGUCAGACUCUGCGGUUCAGUCUUAAGACGUAAUAAGAACUGGCAAGAUAUGUGAGUGGUGGGAUGACUCUUCCGAGACAAACUCUUGUAUCCAUAGCAACCGAUCAACUAGAAACAGAAAGUUACCAUUACAGUCUCUCAGCUUGAAAUAUUUAGCACCAGUUCCCUUGGCAGUAUCGAGUUUGCCGAAUUCCGAAGAAUGAAAAUUAAUUUAAAUUCAAAUAAAUUUUACAACAGAUUAAUUAAAAUGUCGUUUAUUUAUUAAGGCGAAUGCAUUAAGGUUAUUUAAUGGCAUGUAUUAGCGACGGAAACCCG
Molecule: long non-coding RNA, 706 nt
Filed under: Androctonus crassicauda
Lineage: Eukaryota; Metazoa; Arthropoda; Arachnida; Scorpiones; Buthidae
Source: RNAcentral